This 231-nucleotide long non-coding RNA is filed under the name Calidris pygmaea (Spoon-billed sandpiper). RNAcentral describes it as "lncRNA (ENSCPGG00000004114.1)". Lineage: Eukaryota; Metazoa; Chordata; Aves; Charadriiformes; Scolopacidae. The record is from RNAcentral.
GGCGCCCGCCGUCACGUGCCGCGGCCUCGCAUGGCGCCUGCGCCGUCGGGGACGGCCCGAGCGCCGCCGGCUCCUCCCCUCCGGGGCCGGCGGCGGUGCGGACGGGACGGGAGGCUUCGGGGGGGCUCUUGGCGGUGCCUCCCUCCCCCUGCUCUGCGGCUGGCCUCGGCCCUGCCACUGCGAGGGAGCCGCGCCCGGGCGGCGGAGGGGAAAGCAGACAGAUGCUUGUGA